UACGCAGGGUGCGAGCGUUGUCCGGAAUUAUUGGGCGUAAAGGGCUCGUAGGCGGUUUGUCGCGUCGGGAGUGAAAACACUGGGCUUAACCGAGUGCUUGCUUUCGAUACGGGCAGACUUGAGGCAUUCAGGGGAGAACGGAAUUCCUGGUGUAGCGGUGAGAUGCGCAGAUAUCAGGAGGAACACCGGUGGCGAAGGCGGUUCUCUGGGAAUGUUCUGACGCUGAGGAGCGAAAGUGUGGGGAGCGAACAGG
This 253-nucleotide ribosomal RNA is filed under the name uncultured bacterium. RNAcentral describes it as "partial 16S ribosomal RNA". It matches the Rfam family "Bacterial small subunit ribosomal RNA", at positions 524 to 776 of the family's 1533-position model. The record is from RNAcentral.